ACCUUCUUACUUAAGCUCUGUACUAAAAUUGCAGAAACUAGUAUCAUGCCUUCAUAUUUGUAAAAAGCCAGCAAAGUAAACACAAGAAGAAAAUAACUAUACCAGAUAGUAGAAAAACUGAGAUGAACCUCUUUCUUAAGUCCAGCAUACUUUGUUCUAAGAUUUGGGAUGAUAAUA
Molecule: small nucleolar RNA, 177 nt
Organism: Neomonachus schauinslandi (Hawaiian monk seal)
Lineage: Eukaryota; Metazoa; Chordata; Mammalia; Carnivora; Phocidae
Product: small nucleolar RNA SNORA81
Exons: 1
Source: RefSeq, a predicted model, not a curated record